AUGGUUUCUGAUUCCAUCUCCGUCGCGCCGGUAAUCGCCCCUGACGGCGGCAAACUCCGAUCCCGGCCGCGAUUCCUUCAGGAAUCAUGUUAUGUUCAGAGGGGUGAAAAAGAUGAAGGAGAAUUGAGAAGGUCGUUAUGGAGUAGUUAUGGCAGGAAUGAACUGGCUGGAGUAAUGCUGAGGUUGUUAGUCGCGAAUCUGGAUGAGGCAUGA
Non-coding RNA from Vicia faba (fava bean), 213 nucleotides. NCBI's taxonomy places the organism in Eukaryota, Viridiplantae, Streptophyta, Magnoliopsida, Fabales, Fabaceae. The record is from the annotation of a GenBank genome assembly.